This 328-nucleotide ribosomal RNA is filed under the name uncultured eukaryote. RNAcentral's name for it is "partial 18S ribosomal RNA". It matches the Rfam family "Eukaryotic small subunit ribosomal RNA", at positions 1470 to 1796 of the family's 1831-position model. The record is from RNAcentral.
CCCUUAGAUGUCCGGGGCUGCACGCGCGCUACACUGAAGGAAUCAGCGUGCUAAAACCAUUGUCGAAAGGCAUUGGUAAACCCAUUAAAAUCCUACGUGAUUGGGAUCGGGAAUUGCAAUUAUUUCCCUUGAACGAGGAAUUCCCAGUAAGUGUGGGUCAUAAGCUCGCGUUGAUUACGUCCCUGCCCUUUGUACACACCGCCCGUCGCUGCCCGGGACUGAGCCGUUUCUAGAAAAGCGGGGACUGCUGCUGUCGGGGCUUUCGGGCCUUGGCUUCGGUGGAAACCGCUUUAAUCGCAGUGGCUUGAACCGGGCAAAAGUCGUAACA